Long non-coding RNA from Cololabis saira (Pacific saury), 986 nucleotides. RefSeq lists it as uncharacterized. The transcript is spliced from 3 exons. Lineage: Eukaryota; Metazoa; Chordata; Actinopteri; Beloniformes; Belonidae. The record is from RefSeq and is a predicted model, not a curated record.
UUUAAUCAUACUCUGGAUCUCGUUCUCACCUACGGUGUUGAAACUGAUGGUCUGUUGGUGUCACCUGUAAACUCCCUUUUAUCCCACCACUAUUUAAUAACGUUUGAAUUUAAUAUUGUCGAUGUUGAAGUACAAAAUAGGAGGUAUUACUUUAGCAGAUGUUUGUCUGAUGAAGCUAUUGCUAAAUUUAGGGAGGCCAUUGCUCAUCUUACGACAGUGGAAAAUAGAGAGAGUCGCAAUCUACGUCAUCACCUGGCAGCCGCCAUGCUGGACGAACCAUUAGCAGCUCUUCAGACCACUACGCACCGCGUACAGACGUGCUCCCUCUUAGUCGUGUUUUACGUGAAAUCGUUACUUUACAUUAUUCUGUAAACCCUGGUAGCCUGUUGCUGUGUUGUAGCAGCAGCAGCUCCACACAUAACAGACGUGGGGAAAAAAAUCGCUAAUGGUUUAACUUUUCACCGGUUCCUGCUCGGAGGCAGAACCUCCAAACAUCUGAGAUAACAAACAGUCGUCGGCUCGCUUGGCUGUAAGACGACCAAAUAUAACCUUCCACAUUAUCCCGAUGUCGAUGAGAGUCUGCUCCCUGCAUUUUCAUUCUGGAAAACCAGCAAAUGAAAUGUACAGCUCCCACCCAGACUGAGCCCCAUCUCUCAACCUGGGCCACACUAAGAUAAAUGUCACAUCGACUGCACGCUAUGAGAGAAGGGAAGGAGAAAACGGUGGAGGACUGACAGUACACCUGCGAUGGAUGACACAGUUAUGGAUGACCUUCUUCCAGCAGUGGAGACACCAGCACCAGUAGACGAUGGAGCUGACCAGAGAUCGCUGACAGAAUGUGACUUCUGUCAUCGUCGGCAGGAUGAAAUCAAGCGGCUGCUGGAAGAGAACAGGGCCCUGAAACGGGAGCUCGGUCAGAGGAAAAUGGGUGAACAUUUCCUGAAGGAUGACAUCAACAAAGUGAAGUACUACACUGGACUUCCACA